This 85-nucleotide transfer RNA is filed under the name Corallococcus exiguus. RNAcentral's name for it is "tRNA-Tyr(gta)". It matches the Rfam family "tRNA". Rfam says of the family: Transfer RNA (tRNA) molecules are approximately 80 nucleotides in length. Their secondary structure includes four short double-helical elements and three loops (D, anti-codon, and T loops). Further hydrogen bonds mediate the characteristic L-shaped molecular structure. tRNAs have two regions of fundamental functional importance: the anti-codon, which is responsible for specific mRNA codon recognition, and the 3' end, to which the tRNAs corresponding amino acid is attached (by aminoacyl-tRNA synthetases). tRNAs cope with the degeneracy of the genetic code in two manners: having more than one tRNA (with a specific anti-codon) for a particular amino acid; and 'wobble' base-pairing, i.e. permitting non-standard base-pairing at the 3rd anti-codon position. Lineage: Bacteria; Pseudomonadati; Myxococcota; Myxococcia; Myxococcales; Myxococcaceae. The record is from RNAcentral. RNAcentral also lists the same sequence under 2 other names.
GGGGACGUAGAGCGUUACGGAGACGCGCUGGCCUGUAGAGCCGGAGCCCUUGGAAGCCCGCUGGGUUCGACUCCCAGCGUCCCCA